This 120-nucleotide small nucleolar RNA is filed under the name Echinops telfairi (small Madagascar hedgehog). RNAcentral's name for it is "Small nucleolar RNA SNORA61 (ENSETEG00000025824.1)". Lineage: Eukaryota; Metazoa; Chordata; Mammalia; Afrosoricida; Tenrecidae. The record is from RNAcentral.
ACCCUCCGGUUUCUGUAACCAUCAGUUCUAAACACUGGUCUGAGCGGUUCUAAAACAAGGAAAAGUACAAUUGAAACCAACCUCAAUUGUGUGUGACAUACAAACUAGUUUUAAACAACA